RNAcentral lists this ribosomal RNA (1176 nucleotides) under Parvilucifera infectans. RNAcentral describes it as "LSU rRNA". It matches the Rfam family "Eukaryotic large subunit ribosomal RNA", at positions 56 to 1227 of the family's 3401-position model. The record is from RNAcentral. Lineage: Eukaryota; Perkinsozoa; Perkinsida; Perkinsidae.
AGAAGACACUAACUAGGAUUCCCUCAGUAACGGCGAGUGAAAGGGGAGGAGCUCAACCCUUAAUUCUCUCUCUCAGAUGAAGAAAUGUGGGAUCCUUUUUCAGAAAAAUGUCAGUGGAAAAUAUCUUGGAAAGGUUUGCCUAAGAGGGUGAAAGUCCCGUUAACACUGUACAUAUUUCAUACGGAAAAGGUUUGAAGAGUCACGCUCUUUGGAAGUAGAGCGUAAAAACGGGUGAUACACUUCAUCCGAGGCUAAAUAUCAUUUCGAGACCGAUAGUGAACAAGUACCGUGAGGGAAAGCUGAAAAGAACUUUGGAAAGAGAGUUAAACAGUGCUUGAAACCGAUAAGGAGGAAGUGUAUUUGUCUUGAUAUUGUACGCGGUUUGCCGUGUACGAUACAUGCUAUCCAUUUCGAAGGAUCGAGUAAAUCUUUUCGAGACCCAUCAAUAGUGUAGAUGAGGUGGAAUUGAUGUACUUAGCACUUGGAAUGGGAGAGCAUUGAGUUGAGGUUCAUCUUCCCCUUAGCCGUCAAGCUCCUUUCUCUUGAAACGGGUUUGUAGGAUAAGCGUAAGAUGAUAAUCGUUCUUCGCGCAGCAUGAGAUAGUCAAAUACAGCCCGUCUUGAAACACGGACCAAGGAGUCUAACGCGUGCGCGAGUUUGAAGGUUUUUAAACCAAAUAGCCGUAACGAAAGUGAAAACAAAACCACAUUGUAACCGACCUUGAGCUAUGGUGAUAGGAUCGAGUUGAAGCGCAUUUGUUAGGACCCGAAAGGUGGUGAACUAUGCCUGAGUCGAGUGAAGCCAGGGGAAACUUUGGUGGAAGCUCAUAGCGAUUCUGACGUGCAAAUCGAUCGUCUAACUUGGGUAUAGGGGCGAAAGACUAAUCGAACUACCUAGUAGCUGGUUCCUCCCGAAGUUUCCCUCAGGAUAGCAGAAAUUGAGAGCAGUUUUGUCGGGUAAAGCGAAUGAUUAGAGGAUUCGGGGUUAUAUAGACCUUGACCUAUUCUCAAACUUUAAAUAGGCAAGUAAUAUCCUUUACUUCAUUUGAAGGGAUAUUAUUAAUGCGCAAUUUCUAGUGGGCCAUUUUUGGUAAGCAGAACUGGCGAUGAGGAAUAAUCCUAACGUCGGCUUAACGUGCAAAAUUUUCCGCUCAUCAGAUCCCAGAAAGGGUGUUGG